ACGACCUUACUUGAACAGGAUUUGUUCUAUAGGGACGUACAUCUGUUUCCUUGAGUUCUUAGGAGACAGGAAUCCAAGUCUGGUUGAUGAACUACGGCCUCUGUGACCAGAGCGUGAGUAACAGCAUCGUCCUUCGGACCACUGGUGCGGUAGAGGAUCGUUUCCACCCAUUCCAUCUUUGGCUGGCUGGGAUGGUCACACGGCUGUCUGACAGACU
This is a small nucleolar RNA of Juglans microcarpa x Juglans regia, 217 nucleotides long. RefSeq annotates it as small nucleolar RNA U3. Lineage: Eukaryota; Viridiplantae; Streptophyta; Magnoliopsida; Fagales; Juglandaceae. The transcript has a single exon. The record is from RefSeq and is a predicted model, not a curated record.